RNAcentral lists this ribosomal RNA (1297 nucleotides) under metagenome. RNAcentral describes it as "bacterial SSU rRNA". It matches the Rfam family "Bacterial small subunit ribosomal RNA", at positions 209 to 1497 of the family's 1533-position model. The record is from RNAcentral.
GGCCUUGCGCUCUUUGAGCGGCCGAUGUCAGAUUAGCUAGUUGGUGAGGUAAAGGCUUACCAAGGCGACGAUCUGUAGCGGGUCUGAGAGGAUGAUCCGCCACACUGGAACUGAGACACGGUCCAGACUCCUACGGGAGGCAGCAGUGGGGAAUUUUGGACAAUGGGGGCAACCCUGAUCCAGCCAUGCCGCGUGAGUGAAGAAGGCCUUCGGGUUGUAAAGCUCUUUCGGCCGGGAAGAAAUCGCAUGGGCCAAUACCCUGUGUGGAUGACGGUACCGGAAUAAGAAGCACCGGCUAACUACGUGCCAGCAGCCGCGGUAAUACGUAGGGUGCGAGCGUUAAUCGGAAUUACUGGGCGUAAAGCGUGCGCAGGCGGUUUUGUAAGACAGGCGUGAAAUCCCCGGGCUUAACCUGGGAACUGCGUUUGUGACUGCAAGGCUAGAGUACGGCAGAGGGGGGUGGAAUUCCGCGUGUAGCAGUGAAAUGCGUAGAGAUGUGGAGGAACACCAAUGGCGAAGGCAGCCCCCUGGGUCGAUACUGACGCUCAUGCACGAAAGCGUGGGUAGCAAACAGGAUUAGAUACCCUGGUAGUCCACGCCCUAAACUAUGUCAACUAGGUGUUGGGUGGGUAAAACCAUUUAGUACCGUAGCUAACGCGUGAAGUUGACCGCCUGGGGAGUACGGCCGCAAGGUUAAAACUCAAAGGAAUUGACGGGGACCCGCACAAGCGGUGGAUGAUGUGGAUUAAUUCGAUGCAACGCGAAAAACCUUACCUACCCUUGACAUGCUAGGAACUUGCCAGAGAUGGCUUGGUGCCCGAAAGGGAGCCUGGACACAGGUGCUGCAUGGCUGUCGUCAGCUCGUGUCGUGAGAUGUUGGGUUAAGUCCCGCAACGAGUGCAACCCUUGUCGUUAAUUGCCAUCAUUUAGUUGGGCACUUUAACGAGACUGCCGGUGACAAACCGGAGGAAGGUGGGGAUGACGUCAAGUCCUCAUGGCCCUUAUGGGUAGGGCUUCACACGUCAUACAAUGGUCGGUACAAAGGGUUGCCAAGCCGCGAGGCGGAGCCAAUCCCAGAAAGCCGAUCGUAGUCCGGAUUGCAGGCUGCAACUCGCCUGCAUGAAGUCGGAAUCGCUAGUAAUCGUGGAUCAGCAUGUCACGGUGAAUACGUUCCCGGGUCUUGUACACACCGCCCGUCACACCAUGGGAGCGGGUUCCGCCAGAAGUAGGUAGCCUAACCGCAAGGGGGGCGCUUACCACGGCGGGGUUCGUGACUGGGGUGAAGUCGUAACAAGGU